AUAAAAUAAAAAGGCUUGACCUUUGCUUCAAAGCCGUCGCUUUUGAGACUUGAGCCUGCUAUUUCUGCUUCAGUUUCAGCAAAAGCUCUUGUAUUUUCGCUCUCUUCAUUCUUCAGGAUUCAUACACAGGCCCAAUGUCACUCACCCAACAUCUCUCCACCUCUAUCUCAUUUUCUUCCUCUUCUUUUUUAUCUUCUUCAGGCUUUACCUUUAGGAACCGGGAUGUGUCGCUUCCCUCGGAAAAUUUUGGGAUUUGUAGGUGUGUAGCAACCCCUCAGGAAGAGAAGACUACCUACAAGACAAAGGUUUCUCGCAACGCAAACAUGGCCAAGCUUCAAGCUGGGUACCUGUUUCCAGAGAUCGCUCGGAAGAGGAAUGCCCACUUGCAGAAAUACCCUGAUUCAAAAGUGAUAAGCCUCGGG
This 422-nucleotide unclassified non-coding RNA is filed under the name Hevea brasiliensis (rubber tree). The record is from RNAcentral. Lineage: Eukaryota; Viridiplantae; Streptophyta; Magnoliopsida; Malpighiales; Euphorbiaceae.